Symphalangus syndactylus (siamang) is the source of this 572-nucleotide long non-coding RNA. RefSeq lists it as uncharacterized. The record is from RefSeq and is a predicted model, not a curated record. NCBI's taxonomy places the organism in Eukaryota, Metazoa, Chordata, Mammalia, Primates, Hylobatidae.
UUUGAUUACUCUCAAAAACCCAUUUUGUAAUUGGCUACAAUCCAAAAUUUGCUGCUUCUUCAAGGAAAUUCAAAGAAAAUUCCCUGACAAGAACUCUUGAAUAGUUUCUUAUAACUUUGAAGACCAUACCAUUGGACUAAGACACAAUUGAAGACACUGGCUAUUUUUGCAAGGCUUUGACUGGAAUGGCAUGUUUUUAGAUAUGACCAGAGUAAUCUGAAAAAUUAAAAUUGACUUUAUAGAGCUAAUAAAAAGCCCCCUGAAAAUGCUGGCCUGGUACCUUGUCUGCAAAGUUCCUGACCUGUGGUCCUGCAAGCUGAAGCUCAUACCUUGUAACAUACAGAUUACAGAUGAGAAAAAUCUGUCAUAUUCCCACUGCCUAUUUCCAUUUUAACUGAAGAUGUUUCGAAUCUAACAUCUAGACACCUCAGCUGACUGCUUCCUUGAGUCUAAGGAAACCAAAUUUUAGGACUCAUGUCUGCGCCACACCUUAUACAACAGUGUCUGUGAAAUGGUUAAAGAGUAAAAACCCAAUCUGUUGCAGCCAGAAAGGAGUACUCCACCUGUUACAC